This is a long non-coding RNA of Ipomoea nil (Japanese morning glory), 197 nucleotides long. RefSeq lists it as uncharacterized. NCBI's taxonomy places the organism in Eukaryota, Viridiplantae, Streptophyta, Magnoliopsida, Solanales, Convolvulaceae. The transcript is spliced from 2 exons. The record is from RefSeq and is a predicted model, not a curated record.
GAUUUGACUACAGGCUGAUGCAGAACACGAUGUGGCGGCAGGGCAGCCAAAGAAGAGAACGUUCAAGAAGUUCAGCUUCAGAGGUGUGGAUCUUGAUGCGCUCCUUGAUAUGUCCACAGAUGACCUCGUCAAACUCUUCACUGCCCGAGCUCGCAGAAGGUUCAAGAGGGGUUUGAAGAGGAAGCCUUUGGCCUUGA